GUUACAUUUCGAAGACUUUGUUAAUGUACAUGUAAAAUGAUGUUUACAACUUUUCGACAGGGAAACCAGUAACAGGUUUUAAUUCUGAUGCCAAUGAACGAAGUUGGUCUAUUUCUUGUUGGGUUAGUCUCCAACCCAACGCACCACCAAAUUCUUUAGCCUGCUCAGCAUUUUUGGCUCCUGGGAUGGGAACAACAUUCUCCUGUGCAAUCAACCAAUUCAGGACCACCUGAGUUGAAGUCUUAUUGUAGCUAUCUCCAAUCUCCUUUAUUCUAUUUAUGAGUGGCUGCAAUUUGGUAAGAACUUCAGGAGUAUAGAUCUGUCCGCGAGGGCCAGUGGGAGGAUUUUCUGGAGUAUAUUUUCCAGUCAAAGCUCCUUGAGCAAUGGGUGAAUAUGCAAUCAACGUGACUCCCAAUUCAUCACAGGCGGCCUUGACACCAUUUUGCUCUGGCAACCUGUAUAUCAGACUAUAAUUGACUUGAUUUGAAGCUAGUGGAAUACCUCUCCUCUUCAGCUGCUCAUAUGCAUCGCGAAGACGCUUUUCACUAUAGUUAGAUACUCCCACAGCUUUUACAAGGCCCUGCUCCACUGCAU
This 594-nucleotide unclassified non-coding RNA is filed under the name Hevea brasiliensis (rubber tree). Lineage: Eukaryota; Viridiplantae; Streptophyta; Magnoliopsida; Malpighiales; Euphorbiaceae. The record is from RNAcentral.